GUGAGGAAUUUUCCGCAAUGGACGAAAGCCUGACGGAGCAAUGCCGCGUGAAGGAUGAAGGCCUAUGGGUUGUAAACUUCUUUUCUUAGAGAAGAAUAUUGACGGUAUCUGAGGAAUAAGCAUCGGCUAACUCUGUGCCAGCAGCCGCGGUAAGACAGAGGCUGCAAGCGUUAUCCGGAAUGAUUGGGCGUAAAGCGUCUGUAGGUGGCUUCAAAAGUCUCCUGUCAAAGAUCAGGGCUUAACCCUGGGCCGGCAGGAGAGACUCUGAGGCUAGAGUUUGGUAGGGGCAGAGGGAAUUCCCGGUGGAGCGGUGAAAUGCGUAGAGAUCGGGAGGAACACCAAAGGCGAAAGCACUCUGCUGGGCCACAACUGACACUGAGAGACGAAAGCGAGGGGAGCAAAAGGGAUUAGAUACCCUAGUAGUCC
RNAcentral lists this ribosomal RNA (426 nucleotides) under uncultured bacterium. RNAcentral's name for it is "partial 16S ribosomal RNA". It matches the Rfam family "Bacterial small subunit ribosomal RNA", at positions 354 to 796 of the family's 1533-position model. The record is from RNAcentral.